This 449-nucleotide ribosomal RNA is filed under the name uncultured bacterium. RNAcentral describes it as "bacterial SSU rRNA". It matches the Rfam family "Bacterial small subunit ribosomal RNA", at positions 328 to 793 of the family's 1533-position model. The record is from RNAcentral.
GCCCCAGACUCCUACGGGAGGCAGCAGUGGGGAAUAUUGCACAAUGGGGGGAACCCUGAUGCAGCGACGCCGCGUGGGUGAAGGGGCACCUCGGUGCGUAAAGCCCUAUCGGCAGGGAAGAAACAGACGGUACCUGACUAAGAAGCCCCGGCUAACUACGUGCCAGCAGCCGCGGUAAUACGUAGGGGGCAAGCGUUAUCCGGAUUCACUGGGUGUAAAGGGAGCGUAGACGGCGACGCAAGUCUGGAGUGAAAGCCCGGGGCCCAACCCCGGGACUGCAUUGGGAACUACCGGGCUGGAGUGCCGGAGAGGUAGGCGGAAUUCCUAGUGUAGCGGUGAAAUGCGUAGAUAUUAGGAGGAACACCAGUGGCGAAGGCGGCCUACUGGACGGUGACUGACGCUGAGGCUCGAAAGCGUGGGGAGCAAACAGGAUUAGAUACCCGAGUACG